This 30-nucleotide non-coding RNA is filed under the name Mus musculus (house mouse). Lineage: Eukaryota; Metazoa; Chordata; Mammalia; Rodentia; Muridae. The record is from RNAcentral.
UAUGAGUUUGCCUCUGAAAUGCUGUUCAAU